This 460-nucleotide ribosomal RNA is filed under the name uncultured bacterium. Its description in RNAcentral is "partial 16S ribosomal RNA". It matches the Rfam family "Bacterial small subunit ribosomal RNA", at positions 338 to 795 of the family's 1533-position model. The record is from RNAcentral.
CCUACGGGAGGCAGCAGUGAGGAAUAUUGGUCAAUGGCCGGAAGGCUGAACCAGUCAUGCCGCGUGAAGGUCAGUGCCCUUUGGGCGUUAAACUUCUUUUGUGCGGGAGCAAUAAUGGUCACGUGUGGCCAGACGAGAGUACCGUACGAAUAAGCAACGGCUAACUCCGUGCAAGCAGCCGCGGUAAUACGGGGGAUGCAAGCGUUAUCCGGAUUUGUUGGGUUUAAGGGGUGCGUAAGCGGUGAGGUAAGGCAGCGGAGAAAGGCCCCCGCUCAACGGGGUGAAGUGCCAUUGAUACUGGCUAGCUGGAGUGCGGAUGCGGUAGGAGGAAUGUGUGGUGUAGCGGUGAAAUGCAUAGAUAUCACACAGAACACCGAUUGCGAAGGCAUCUCACGAAUCCGCGAUUGACGCUGAGGCACGAAAGCGUGGGUAUCAAACAGGAUUAGAUACCCGGGUAGUC